UAUCACUGAGUAGUCGAGAAG
RNAcentral lists this non-coding RNA (21 nucleotides) under Arabidopsis thaliana (thale cress). Lineage: Eukaryota; Viridiplantae; Streptophyta; Magnoliopsida; Brassicales; Brassicaceae. The record is from RNAcentral.